GUACUCGCUUCCACAGCACAUAUAUUAAAAUUGCAAUGAUGAGGAUGGUCCCUGCACAAGGAUGACAAGCAAAUUCAUGAAGCAUUCCAUAUUAAA
This is a small nuclear RNA of Ochotona princeps (American pika), 96 nucleotides long. NCBI's taxonomy places the organism in Eukaryota, Metazoa, Chordata, Mammalia, Lagomorpha, Ochotonidae. The record is from Ensembl.